This 880-nucleotide long non-coding RNA is filed under the name Linum usitatissimum (flax). RNAcentral describes it as "long non-coding RNA (LUSI_LNC005914)". Lineage: Eukaryota; Viridiplantae; Streptophyta; Magnoliopsida; Malpighiales; Linaceae. The record is from RNAcentral.
UCUCCACAUCAGCUCCAGAUCAUAAAAUAUAUUAAUAUUUUAAUAUAAAUUCCAAAAAAUAUAAAAUAUACAAAAAUUGUUCUAAAACGUAACAAAAAAAUCGCUGCUUCGUCUUCUCCAAAUUUGACUUCGGACAUCAACUCAAGCUUCCCCGGCAAAUGAUAACUCGUAUCAGAUUCAACUCCAGCUUGGGAUUCAGUCAACUUCAGCUUCUAUUUUGGAGCGGUCUUGAUCUGGAUCUGGACGGACAUGGUGUGAUCGAAGCUUGGUGGAUGGAUCUAGGACUGGUUAGAGCUGCUUGUAGUUAGCAGCUUGUUGAAAAAAAUCAGAAUAGUGAUUUCCAGCUGAGAAUUAGCAAGAGGGUAUGCUUUCCGGUUUACUGCUUCACCACUUUGCACCAUUUUUUCGCUCCUGGGCGGGAAUUGAAUGUAAAACAGAGGAGAAGGCUAAACCUAAAUCGUAGGCAGUUAGGGAGGCUGGUGAAAAUUGAAGAUGUGCGUAUAUAGAGUUCCUCAAGUUGCAAGCUGAACCUUUGAAGACCUAGAUCAGACGGCUGGUAUGUUUCCUAAUAUUCUUAUCGGACGGGUGUGGGUCACUUUCUUCUACAGCCUUAUGGGUUAACCAAUAACCCAGCAAACAUGUUUAAACCGAUCAUAAUGGAUCUUUUCGGUUUUGAAAGCAGAGGAAAACAAAUUGAGCAGCAGGUGAAGAAACAAGCGACGGAAUAGAUUGACCUAGGUAGAAGGAACAUCGGUGGCGGCGGGAGAAGAAGGUGUGAUUUAAAGGAGCGGACGGUGACUGAAAAAAGGGAGAAGGUGCAUUUAAAGGGCGAUUUAAAAGUCUUUUAAUUGGGGUGGAAAUUUUUUUUACUUUAUACAAG